AUUGAACGCUGGCGGCAUGCCUUACACAUGCAAGUCGAACGGUAACAGGCCGCAAGGUGCUGACGAGUGGCGAACGGGUGAGUAAUGCAUCGGAACGUGCCCAGUCGUGGGGGAUAACUACUCGAAAGAGUAGCUAAUACCGCAUACGAUCUAUGGAUGAAAGCGGGGGACCGUAAGGCCUCGCGCGAUUGGAGCGGCCGAUGUCAGAUUAGGUAGUUGGUGGGGUAAAGGCUCACCAAGCCAACGAUCUGUAGCUGGUCUGAGAGGACGACCAGCCACACUGGGACUGAGACACGGCCCAGACUCCUACGGGAGGCAGCAGUGGGGAAUUUUGGACAAUGGGCGCAAGCCUGAUCCAGCAAUGCCGCGUGCAGGAAGAAGGCCUUCGGGUUGUAAACUGCUUUUGUACGGAACGAAACGGCUCUGGUUAAUACCCGGGGCUAAUGACGGUACCAUAAGAAUAAGCACCGGCUAACUACGUG
Molecule: ribosomal RNA, 482 nt
Filed under: uncultured bacterium
Lineage: Bacteria
Description: partial 16S ribosomal RNA
Rfam family: Bacterial small subunit ribosomal RNA
Source: RNAcentral